This 308-nucleotide ribosomal RNA is filed under the name uncultured archaeon. Its description in RNAcentral is "bacterial SSU rRNA". It matches the Rfam family "Archaeal small subunit ribosomal RNA", at positions 526 to 834 of the family's 1478-position model. The record is from RNAcentral.
UGGCCGAUCAAGUCUGUCGGGAAAUCCAGUGGCUCAACCACUGGGCUGCCGGCGGAAACUGUUCGGCUUGGGACCGGAAGACUCGAGGGGUACGUCCGGGGUAGGAGUGAAAUCCCGUAAUCCUGGACGGACCACCAAUGGCGAAAGCACCUCGAGAGCACGGAUCCGACAGUGAGGGACGAAAGCUAGGGUCUCGAACCGGAUUAGAUACCCGGGUAGUCCUAGCUGUAAACGAUGCUCGCUCGGUCUGGCGCAGGCUACGAGCCUGUGCUGUGCCACAGUGAAGACGGAAGCGAGCCGCCUGGGAA